AUCCAGAUGACGUGUCCUAGAUAGGACGAAAUGCGCGUUGUCCUGGAU
This 48-nucleotide non-coding RNA is filed under the name Trichobilharzia regenti. Lineage: Eukaryota; Metazoa; Platyhelminthes; Trematoda; Strigeidida; Schistosomatidae. The record is from RNAcentral.